Molecule: ribosomal RNA, 332 nt
Filed under: uncultured Chloroflexota bacterium
Lineage: Bacteria; Bacillati; Chloroflexota
Description: bacterial SSU rRNA
Rfam family: Bacterial small subunit ribosomal RNA
Source: RNAcentral
GAUGAACGCUGGCGGCGUGCUUAAUACAUGCAAGUCGAACGAGGAACUUUUGUCUUCGGAUAGAGGUUUCCUAGUGGCGAACGGGUGAGUAACGCGUUGGUGACCUGCCCCGAAGUGGGGGAUAACAGUUCGAAAGGACUGCUAAUACCGCAUGAGGUCGUUGAAGUUAGAGGUUUGACGACGAAAAGGAGAAAUCCGCUUUGGGAGGGGCCUGCGUCCCAUCAGCUAGUUGGUAAGGUAAAAGCUUACCAAGGCGAAGACGGGUAGGGGGCCUGAGAGGGUGACCCCCCACACUGGCACUGAAACACGGGCCAGACACCUACGGGUGGCAG